AGUGAACGCUGGCGGUAGGCCUAACACAUGCAAGUCGAACGGCAGCACAGUAUGAGCUUGCUCUUACGGGUGGCGAGUGGCGGACGGGUGAGGAAUGCAUCGGAAUCUACUUUUUCGUGGGGGAUAACGUAGGGGAACUUACGCUAAUACCGCAUACGACCUACGGGUGAAAGCAGGGGAUCUUCGGACCUUGCGCGAUUGAAUGAGCCGAUGUCGGAUUAGCUAGUUGGCGGGGUAAAGGCCCACCAAGGCGACGAUCCGUAGCUGGUCUGAGAGGAUGAUCAGCCACACUGGAACUGAGACACGGUCCAGACUCCUACGGGAGGCAGCAGUGGGGAAUAUUGGACAAUGGGCGCAAGCCUGAUCCAGCCAUACCGCGUGGGUGAAGAAGGCCUUCGGGUUGUAAAGCCCUUUUGUUGGGAAAGAAAAGCAGCAGGUUAAUACCCCGCUGUUCUGACGGUACCCAAAGAAUAAGCACCGGCUAACUUCGUG
This 492-nucleotide ribosomal RNA is filed under the name uncultured bacterium. RNAcentral describes it as "partial 16S ribosomal RNA". It matches the Rfam family "Bacterial small subunit ribosomal RNA", at positions 29 to 507 of the family's 1533-position model. The record is from RNAcentral.